This 520-nucleotide ribosomal RNA is filed under the name uncultured Glomus. RNAcentral describes it as "SSU rRNA". It matches the Rfam family "Eukaryotic small subunit ribosomal RNA", at positions 569 to 1088 of the family's 1831-position model. Lineage: Eukaryota; Fungi; Glomeromycota; Glomeromycetes; Glomerales; Glomeraceae. The record is from RNAcentral.
AGCAGCCGCGGUAAUUCCAGCUCCAAUAGCGUAUAUUAAAGUUGUUGCAGUUAAAAAGCUCGUAGUUGAAUUUCGGGGUUAGUAGGUUGGUCAUGCCUCUGGUAUGUACUGGUCUCACUGAUUCCUCCUUCCUGAUGAACCUUAAUGCCAUUAAUUUGGUGUUUUGGGGAAUUUGGACUGUUACUUUGAAAAAAUUUAGAGUGUUUAAAGCAAGCUAACGCUUGAAUACAUUAGCAUGGAAUAAUGAAAUAGGACGUUCGAUCCUAUUUUGUUGGUUUCUAGGAUUGACGUAAUGAUUAAUAGGGAUAGUUGGGGCGGAUUAGUAUUCAAUUGUCAGAGGCGAAAUUCUUGGAUUUAUUGAAGACUAACUACUGCGAAAGCAUUUGCCAAGGAUGUUUUCAUUAAUCAAGAGCGAAAGUUAGGGGAUCGAAGACGAUCAGAUACCGUCGUAGUCUUAACCAUAAACUAUGCCGACUAGGGAUCGGAUGAUGUUAAUUUUUUAAUGACUCAUUCGGCGCCU